UGGGUCCAACCUCCCACCCGUGUUUAUUUACCUUGUUGCUUCGGCGGGCCCGCCUUAACUGGCCGCCGGGGGGCUUACGCCCCCGGGCCCGCGCCCGCCGAAGACACCCUCGAACUCUGUCUGAAGAUUGUAGUCUGAGUGAAAAUAUAAAUUAUUUAAAACUUUCAACAACGGAUCUCUUGGUUCCGGCAUCGAUGAAGAACGCAGCGAAAUGCGAUACGUAAUGUGAAUUGCAAAUUCAGUGAAUCAUCGAGUCUUUGAACGCACAUUGCGCCCCCUGGUAUUCCGGGGGGCAUGCCUGUCCGAGCGUCAUUGCUGCCCUCAAGCACGGCUUGUGUGUUGGGCCCCGUCCUCCGAUUCCGGGGGACGGGCCCGAAAGGCAGCGGCGGCACCGCGUCCGGUCCUCGAGCGUAUGGGGCUUUGUCACCCGCUCUGUAGGCCCGGCCGGCGCUUGCCGAUCAACCCAAAUUUUUAUCCAGGUUGACCUCGGAUCAGGUAGGGAUACCCGCUGAACUUAAGCAUAUCAAUAAGCGGAGGAA
This 539-nucleotide unclassified non-coding RNA is filed under the name Penicillium griseofulvum. RNAcentral describes it as "sequence contains ITS1, 5.8S rRNA gene, ITS2". The stretch from base 160 to 312 matches the Rfam family "5.8S ribosomal RNA". The record is from RNAcentral. Lineage: Eukaryota; Fungi; Ascomycota; Eurotiomycetes; Eurotiales; Aspergillaceae.